UGGAAAGAGCAGAGGCUGAGGAGCACC
RNAcentral lists this non-coding RNA (27 nucleotides) under Homo sapiens (human). The record is from RNAcentral. Lineage: Eukaryota; Metazoa; Chordata; Mammalia; Primates; Hominidae.